RNAcentral lists this ribosomal RNA (400 nucleotides) under uncultured bacterium. RNAcentral's name for it is "bacterial SSU rRNA". It matches the Rfam family "Bacterial small subunit ribosomal RNA", at positions 355 to 752 of the family's 1533-position model. The record is from RNAcentral.
UAAGGAAUAUUGGUCAAUGGAGGCAACUCUGAACCAGCCAUGCCGCGUGCAGGAUGACGGCCCUAUGGGUUGUAAACUGCUUUUGUACCAGAGAAAACCCCAGUACGUGUACUGGGUUGAUAGUAUGGUAAGAAUAAGCAUCGGCUAACUUCGUGCCAGCAGCCGCGGUAAGACGAAGGAUGCAAGCGUUAUCCGGAUUCAUUGGGUUUAAAGGGUGCGUAGGCGGACUUGUAAGUCAGUGGUGAAAUCUCUCAGCUUAACUGAGAAACUGCCAUUGAUACUGCAGGUCUAGAGUAUAGAUGACGUUGGCGGAAUAUGACAUGUAGUGGUGAAAUACUUAGAUAUGUCAUAGAACACCGAUUGCGAAGGCAGCUAACGAAACUAUAACUGACGCUGAGGC